UACGUAGGGGGCGAGCGUUGUCCGGAAUUAUUGGGCGUAAAGAGCGUGUAGGCGGUUCGGUAAGUCUGUCGUGAAAACCCAGGGCUCAACCCUGGGCGUGCGAUGGAUACUGCCGGGCUAGAGGGUGGUAGAGGCAAGUGGAAUUCCGAGUGUAGCGGUGAAAUGCGCAGAUAUUCGGAGGAACACCAGUAGCGAAGGCGGCUUGCUGGGCCACACCUGACGCUGAGACGCGAAAGCUAGGGGAGCGAACAGG
RNAcentral lists this non-coding RNA (253 nucleotides) under uncultured bacterium. RNAcentral describes it as "partial 16S ribosomal RNA". It matches the Rfam family "Bacterial small subunit ribosomal RNA", at positions 524 to 776 of the family's 1533-position model. RNAcentral also lists the same sequence under 1 other name. The record is from RNAcentral.